GCCAGCAGCCAUAUCACUCUGCAUCUCACAACUGGCAACCCACUGAAGCUAAGCAGGUCUGAGCCUGGUUAGUACCUGCAUGAGAGACCUCCUAGGAAAAACUAAGGUUUCUGCUGGAA
Lepisosteus oculatus (spotted gar) is the source of this 119-nucleotide ribosomal RNA. Lineage: Eukaryota; Metazoa; Chordata; Actinopteri; Semionotiformes; Lepisosteidae. The record is from Rfam.